Nymphaea colorata (pocket water lily) is the source of this 3423-nucleotide RNA transcript. RefSeq lists it as uncharacterized. The transcript has 3 exons. Lineage: Eukaryota; Viridiplantae; Streptophyta; Magnoliopsida; Nymphaeales; Nymphaeaceae. The record is from RefSeq and is a predicted model, not a curated record.
UAGAAUAGUGUAUAAUAGUUUGGUUCUAAUUUAUGAAAUUAAAGGCAGAGAUUGUCUGGUUCGUGUUCGCCUCCUCCCAUUCUGAAACAGAACGAGAGAGGGUGUGAGAGGGAGAGAACAAGGGAUAGGGCGAGAGACUUGACUAAGGGAGCAGAGAGAGGCGGAGGGAGGACAGAAGAAAAAAGGGGGGCAGAGAGAGAGAGAGAGGCGUGAAGGAGAAGAAUAGACUGGAAGGAGGACUUGGUGACAGAGAAGAGGAUUGGGAUUGGUUUGUUUUCUGAAGGGCUAUAUCGUUUACAGAUGUGUGUCACUACUGCCCUCACAACAGCCGCCAGCAAAACAAUGAAGAGUAGAGAAGACUCCCUUCAAUCGAUUCUGCGUUGGCAUGAGCGCCUUGGACACCUUAUUUUUGAAAUUCUAAGACAGUUAUUUACUGAUCUGUGUUCCAGGUUAGAUAUGACUAUGGUGUCUUGUGAUGUCUGUCACCUGGCCAAACAUGUUAGGGCUUCAUACCCUGUGUCUACCCAUCGUUCUAACGAGGUGUUUGCCAUGAUUCACUCUGAUGUAUGGGGGCCUUCGGGAAUUCUUUUUUGUCAUGGUUUUUAGUAUUUUAUCACCUUUAUAGAUGAUUGUUCUCGUAACGCCAUUGUUUAUUUACUGAAAGACCGUAGUGAAGUUCCUACUAUCAUAGAGACUUUCAUUGCUUGUAUGGAAACUCAAUAUGGAACAUCUGUUAAGACCUUACGGUCUGACAAUGCUCGUGAGUAUACGUGUCAUUCUGUUGAUAGCUUCUUUCAGAAAAAGAGAAUUGUUCAUGAAACUUCUUGUAGUUAUACUCCUACUCAAAAAGGAGUUUGCUGAACGAAAGAAUCGCCAGUUACUAAAUAUGUCUCGGGCAUUUCUUUUUCAACGUCAUUUCCAAAAAAAUAUUGGGGGGAUGUUGUGUUGACCAGUGUGUAUCUAAUUAACUAUAUGCCUAGUCGUGUGUUGAAUUGGCAGACGCCCCACUCUAUGUUACCGAAGAGUCGUGAACCUUUAUCUCUUCCACCUAGAGUUUUUGGAUGUGUUUGUUUUAUUCACAAUCAUAGUUCUAAUAUUAAAAAGCUUGAUCCUAGGUCAGUUAAGGGCAUUUUUCUAGGUUAUUCCCCCACUCAAAAAGGAUAUAAGUGUCGAGACCCUUCCACAGGUCGUGCCCAUGUUACCAAAGAUGUCACCUUCUUGGAACAUGCUUCAUAUUUUGGUGAGAAUUCUCUUCAAGGGGAGAGGUCUACAAUGAGAGAAGAGUAUUCUCCCAGUCAUGAGAUUCAGUCUACGGAUUUUUUGGAAUACAAGAAGGAAGAGAUUGAGGUUACUAACCCUUUAGAGCACAAUGAGGAUGAUGGAUGUUCUCCUGUGGAUAAGGAGAGACAUGACCAUUUGUUUGGACAAGUUUACUCUAGGCAAAAGUCGCCUGCGGCAGGACCCACUGAUGGAGCUGACGAAGCGAUGCUCUCUGGGGACAAAAAUCCUACUCCAAAUCCUAAUGCUACUCCUUUCUUGGAUGACCCAAGCCGUGCCCAAGAAAUGUCAGUUGAAGGUACUCAGGCAGAGGCUAAAAGUGAAGAUUUACCUAUUGCUCUUAGAAAGGGUGUCUAGUCAUGUACUCAACACUCUAUUGAACUAUUGCUGAAGCUCAAGGUGAUUCCAAGUGGGUUGAUGCGAUGCAAGAAGAAAUGGAAGCCCUAAGAAGAAACAUGACAUGGGAAGUUGUAAAGAUCUCUAAGGCAGCUCACUUGGUUGGAUCCAAGUGGAUCUACACCAUCAAAUACAAACCAGAUGGAAGUCUUGAAAGAUACAAAGCUCAUCUUGUGGCCAAGGGGUUUAGUUAGAAAUAUAGAAUUGAUUACUUGGAGACCUCUGCUCCAGUUGCAAAAAUGAAGAAAGUUAGAGUUGUUAUUUCCCUAGCUGUGAUGAAGGAGUGGAGGAUGUAACAACUGGAUGUUAAGAAUGCAUUUCUCAAUAGCGAUCUCGAAGAGGAGGUGUAUAUGCGUAUGCCCCCAGGAUAUGAAGAACCAGAAAAAUGCUGGAAACUAAAAAAGGUUUUAUAUGGCCUCAAGCAAUCGCCGAGAGCAUUGUUCGAAUGACUCAGACGAGUAAUGCAACAUUAUGGCUACGAUCAAGGGAAUGGAGACCAAACUCUGUUUAUGAAGAGGAAAGAAGGGAAAGUCACACUGUUACUUGUUUAUGUGGAUGACAUGAUUGUUACAGGUGAUGAUGAGGAUGAAAUCACAAAGCUAAAAGUGUUACUAGUUGUCGAAUUUGAUCUCAAGGAUCUUGGUAAACUGAGGUACUUUCUUGGUAUUGAGAUUGCUAGGUCCAGUAUCGACCUUGUGUUAAAUCAAUGGAAAUACACACUAGAUCUAUUGGAGGAGACCGGUAAGCUGGGGUGUAGACCAUACUCCUCUUGAUGCUGGGUGCAAGUGGAGCCUUAAAGAUGGGGAGUUACUCUGUGAAAAAGCCAAAGGAAGAUAUCAACGUCUUGUUGGAAAGUUGAUUUAUCUUACCCUCACUCGACCAGAUAUCACUUUUGCUGUGAAUGUACUGAGUCAAUUCAUGCAUGCCCCGACAGAUGCACACUUGAAGGUUGUGUUGAUACUAGAAGGUCUACCUCAGGGUACUGUGUCUACUUGGGAGGAAACCUUGUUAUCUGGAAAAGCAAGAGGCAAGAUAUGUGUUCUCGAUCUGGUGCAGAGGAUGAGUAUAGAGCUAUUGUUAUGGAAGUGUCAGAGUUACUAUGGCUGAAAAUAUUGAUAGCUGAUAUCGGGAUAGAGAUUUGAGGACCUAUAAAGAUAUACUGUGACAACAAGUCUGCAAUCAACCUAGUUAAUAAUCCUGUACUACAUGACAGAAUAAAGCAUGUUGAGAUUGAUCGCCACUUUAUCCGUGAGAGGAUUGAUGCUAAAGAGUUAAUCUUACCUUACAUGAAGUCUGAAGACCAAACCGCUGAUGUUAUGACUAAAACUCUAUCUUCAACUUUUUUUGAGAGAAAUGUAUCCAAGUUAGGCAUGUUUGAUAUGUAUGCCCAACUUGAGGGGGAGUGUUGAAGCAUGUAAAGAUGGGUCUUGGGUCCAGACCCGAUCCAGCUUGUAGUCCUUGUUGGGCCUUAUUUAAAGACUUGUAACCCUAAUUUCUGAAGUGAAUGAAGUUUUAAGAGAGAGAGAGAGAGUCUGGCGGCUAGUGAGCACCAGACCUCCUCUCCCAUGGUUUUUUCUCCCUCUUGUUGAGGGUUUUUCCACGUUACAUCCGUGUUCUUCUCGCUUUUACUGUUUCUACAGUACCCAUACCUGAAGACAUGCCCGAAGACUGCAUUGAUUAAAAUUUUCUUCUUGGUGAGCAGAUUUUGACAUACAUAGACCUAUUCGUAAAUAACUGGUUUAUCCUAUG